UACGUAGGGUGCAAGCGUUAAUCGGAAUUACUGGGCGUAAAGCGUGCGCAGGCGGUUUUGUAAGUCUGACGUGAAAUCCCCGGGCUCAACCUGGGAACUGCGUCCGAUACUGGAUGGCUUGAAUCCGGGAGAGGGAUGCAGAAUUCCAGGUGUAGCGGUGAAAUGCGUAGAUAUCUGGAGGAAUACCGGUGGCGAAGGCGGCAUCCUGGACCGGCAUUGACGCUGAGGAGCGAAAGCCAGGGGAGCAAACGGG
This 253-nucleotide ribosomal RNA is filed under the name uncultured bacterium. Its description in RNAcentral is "partial 16S ribosomal RNA". It matches the Rfam family "Bacterial small subunit ribosomal RNA", at positions 524 to 776 of the family's 1533-position model. The record is from RNAcentral.